UGGUGCUUUUGCCAACAGGUGGCCUCGGAA
This 30-nucleotide non-coding RNA is filed under the name Rattus norvegicus (Norway rat). Lineage: Eukaryota; Metazoa; Chordata; Mammalia; Rodentia; Muridae. The record is from RNAcentral.